AGAGUUUGAUCAUGGCUCAGGAUGAACGCUAGCUACAGGCUUAACACAUGCAAGUCGAGGGGAAACGACAUCGAAAGCUUGCUUUUGUAUGGGCGUCGACCGGCGCACGGGUGAGUAACGCGUAUCCAACCUGCCCACCACUUGGGGAUAACCUUGCGAAAGUAAGACUAAUACCCAAUGAUAUCUCUAGAAGACAUCUGAAAGAGAUUAAAGAUUUAUCGGUGAUGGAUGGGGAUGCGUCUGAUUAGCUUGUUGGCGGGGCAACGGCCCGCUAAGGCGACGAUCAGUAGGGGUUCUGAGAGGAAGGUCCCCCACAUUGGAACUGAGACACGGUCCAAACUCCUACGGGAGGCAGCA
This 357-nucleotide ribosomal RNA is filed under the name uncultured bacterium. Its description in RNAcentral is "bacterial SSU rRNA". It matches the Rfam family "Bacterial small subunit ribosomal RNA", at positions 8 to 353 of the family's 1533-position model. The record is from RNAcentral.